UUUUUCAGACGUUUGGUGUUAGGAAAUCAAUGGAGGGCGCCAUUGUGAGCUUGACCGAGGGCGCCGUGCGGGGGCUCCUCCGGAAGCUCGCCGGCGUGCUCGCGCAGGAGAGCUCGCCGGCGCAGCGCGUCCACGGCGAGGUGCAGUACAUCAAGGACGAGCUGGAGAGCAUGAACGCCUUCCUCCGCAGCGUCUCCACGUCGCCGGAGGACGCCGCCGGCCACGACGACCAGGUGAGGGUCUGGAUGAAGCAGGUCAGGGAGAUCGCCUACGACGCCGAGGACUGCAUCGACGUGUUCGUCCGCGGCCGCAGCCACCCCGCCGCCGCCGCCGGAGACGAAGGUCGCCUCGUGGCCUCACUCCGCCGCUUCGUCCGCCUACUGGCCGGCGCGCUAGGAGUAGGAGGAGGAGACCGCUCCGUCGCGGCCCAGCUCCGGGAACUGAAGGCCCGCGCCCGCGACGCCGGCGAGCGGCGCACGAGGUACGGGGUGUCGCUGGCGGCGGCGGCGGUCAGGGGCGGCGGCGGGUCGUCGUCGUCCGGGCGGCUCGACCCCAGGCUGCACGCGCUGUUCACGGAGGAGGCGCAGCUGGUGGGGAUCGACGGGCCGAGGGAGGAGCUCGUGGGGUGGGUGAUGGAGGAGGAGCCGCGGCUGCGGGUGCUCGCCGUCGUCGGGUUCGGCGGGCUCGGCAAGACCACGCUGGCGAGGAUGGUGUGCGGGAGCCCCCGGGUGAAGGGCGCCGCCGACUUCCAGUGCUCGCCGCCGCUCGUCGUCGUGUCGCAGACGUUCAGCAUCACGGCGCUCUUCCAGCACUUGCUCAGGGAGCUCAUCCAGCGCCCGCGCAAGGCAAUGGCCGCCGUCGCCGCCGCCGGCGGCGGCGGCGGCGACCUUGUCGCGUACGAUGCAUUGCAGGGGAUGGAGAGGUGGGAGACGGCAGCGCUCGCCAGCAAAGCUGAGGGAAUACCUGCAAGACAAAAGGUACAUUGUGAUAUUGGAUGAUAUAUGGUCUUCAUCAGCAUGGGAGAGCAUCAAAUGCGCAUUUCCAGAUAAUAAAAAGGGUAGCAGGAUCAUAGUAACCACCAGAAACGAGGAUGUCGCCAACACCUGCUGCUGCCGCCCCCAAGAUCGCAUCUACAAGAUCCAACGCCUCUCAGAUGCGGCAUCGCGGGAGCUGUUCUUCAAGAGGAUCUUUGGCAUGGCGGAUGCCGGAGCGCCAGACGACGAUGAGCUGAAACAAGUUUCAGAUUCCAUCCUGAAGAAAUGUGGAGGGCUGCCUCUAGCAAUAGUGAGCAUCGGUAGCCUCCUCGCAAGCAAGCCAAACAGGAGCAAAGAAGAGUGGCAGAAGGUUUGUGACAACUUGGGCUCUGAACUUGAGUCAAAUCCUACUCUUGAAGGCACAAAGCAGGUGUUAACUCUGAGCUACAAUGAUCUGCCCUACCAUCUGAAGGCAUGCUUCUUGUAUUUGAGUAUCUUUCCUGAAAAUCAUGUGAUCAAGAGGGGACCUUUGGUGAGAAUGUGGAUAGCUGAAGGUUUUGUCACCCAGAGGCAUGGAUUGAGCAUGGAACAGGUCGGUGAAAGAUACUUUGAUGAGUUUGUGAGCAGGAGCAUGGUUCAUCUUGUCAGAAUCGAUUGGAGUGGCAAGGUGAGAAGCUGCAAGGUUCAUGAUAUAAUGCUUGAAGUCAUCGUCUCCAAGUCACUUGAGGAAAACUUUGCAUCCUUCUUCUGUGACAAUGGAACCGAACUGGUUUCGCAUGACAAAAUCCGCCGCCUCUCCAUCCGCAGCAGUAGCUACUCAUCAGCUCAAAGAACAAGCAACAGUGUAGCUCAUGUUCGCACCUUCAGAAUGUCACCUUCAAUUGACAAUAUCCCAUUCUUCUUUCCACAAUUGCGGUUGUUAAGAGUGCUGGACAUGCAAGGCAGCCGUUGCAUGAGUAACAAGAAUUUGGACUGCAUCUGCAGAUUUUUCCAGCUCAAAUACCUAAGCCUCAGAAACACCAGUGUGUCCAUACUUCCGAGGUUAAUUGGGAAUCUGAAUCACCUGGAGACACUGGAUAUAAGAGAGACACUUAUCAAGAAGCUGCCUAGUAGUGCAGCUAACCUGACUUGCCUAAAGCAUUUGUUAGCAGGGCACAAAGAGCAACUUACAAGGACAUCCAGUGUGAAGUUUUUGAGGCCAUCCUCAGGUCUAAAGAUGAGCCAUGGAGUGAUCAGAAACAUGGCAAAGCUGCAAUCACUUGUCCAUGUAGAGAUAAAAGAACAUCCAUCAGUGUUCCAGGAGAUCGCCUUGCUGCAAAAUCUACGGAAGCUCAGUGUUCUCUUUUAUGGUAUAGAGGUAAACUGGAAGCCCUUUCUGGAGUUGUUGAAUAUGCUGAGUGGCUCUGUGCGAUCACUCUCCAUUGACAUCUUCGACGCACAAGGAAACAUCUCUAUCUCAUCACUGGAGAUGCUUUCUUCCUUAGUGUCACCUCCCAUUUUCAUCACUAGCUUCAGCCUGACUGGCAAGCUUGGUAGUCUACCUCCUUGGGUAGCAUCACUUAGAAGCGUCUCGAGGCUUACUCUUCGCAGGAGCCAACUCCGUGCUGAUGCCAUACAUGUCCUUGGAGGCCUGCAAAAUCUGCUCUGCCUGAAACUCUAUCACAAAUCAUAUGCUGAUGAUCGCCUCGUUUUUCCACAGGGAGGAUUUGCCAGGGUCAAGCUUCUGAUCGAUGAUAACCUGGUGAACCUUGAAAAGUUGCAUUUCAAUGAGGGAUCGAUGCCUAAUCUUGAGAGGCUGACAUUGUCAUUCCUGAGAGAACCCAAGGAUGGCAUCUCAGGUCUGAACAAUCUCCUGAAACUGAAGGAGGUAGAGUUCUUUGGCAACAUCGUAUCAUCUGUGGUGAGCAAAGUGGUGUCAUGUGUGAAGGAUCAUCCAAAUCAUCCGAGAGUUGUAGGUGACAAAUGGAACAUUGUGACGGUGUACAAUUGAGGUGUAAAACAGUAAAAGAAGCAUUUCAUCUGAAGCUUGCGUUUGCUUCAGUGUUCUGCAGGUUGUGGCUAGGCCUCCCCUGCUAGUUUAAACUUAUCAAAUGUACUCCUAUUUCAUAAGCACAACAUUUUGCUUGUCAACUACUUUGUUAGGUUUCUUGUGAUUGAACCUGCCUAUUCGAGUUUAAAUUUUAGGCUUGACACGAGUGCUUGUAUUUAUGGAUAUUUAUUCUUUCAGGGAUAGAUGAUAUACCCGUUAACAAUGAGACGUUUGUGGAGACUUUGUCAUUAUCAAGAUAUACAUGCCUGGUCUUUCAGGGGUGCUUAUAAAGAAUUAGAGAUAUGCUGUGUGUUUAUAAGGAUAAGUGCCCCUACCAAUAGGUGGACCCUUGUCACUGGGCUCCGUGCCAUAGCGUCCAAAAUUGGUGGGAAAUGCUAGCCAAUACAAAUGAGGUGUCCAAGAAAAGCCUGCGGACCCUAAUUCUUUUAAUAGUUUGGGAAAUCUGGAAGUAAAAAAAUCAGCAGGUUUUCGAACAAAAGGAGAUUGCGACCUUAGCCUUAUGGCAAAAAUAAAAGAGGAGGCAGGAACUUGGGCUAUGGCGGGAGCAAGGAGGAUACGGGAUUUUCUACUAAACCGUAUCUAGGCCUUAUCAGUUUUGUAUAGUUUUAUCCCUAGGGGUUGUACUUUUCCUUCUAUUUUAAUGAAAUAGUAUAGUCUCGUGUUGAUUCCUUUAAAAAGAUAAGUACACGCACGUUUCUAGGGCUACGUUUGUACUGUAUUUUUUUAAAAAAAAAUGUUCUAAAAAAAUUACCACCGUCAUUUUCCUUUCACCUAAGGAUAGCAUAUGAGCAUGACUUAAACAAAAGUAGAAAACACACAUCCGUGCUUGGAAGGCGUAUUUCUGUAUCACGUGGGGGAGGCACACGCCUAUGAAGUUCGGUGACGCCUUAUGAAUGUACGCGUCCUUACUGUCUCUUUCGGAAAAGAGAGAGAGAGAGAGAGAGAGCCGCAGCCGCAGCCCUCCGCGCCGGCGAUGGCGGCGGCGGAGGACGUGCCGGGUAGAGAUUCCGGCCGGAUGCGCAUGCGCAUGCGCAGAAGAUUCAAGGGAGCCGGGUGAAGCACGGAUCGUGGUGGUGGCUAAUCGAAGAGCGCGCGCGGGUGGGCGGCUCUGUGCUUCAUGUGUUCGAUGAAAUGCGUCACCCAGCUAGUCUACGAGAAGGGCCUGACUAGGUAGCGGCGGCGAGCAGCUGGCCCUGAAUGUUUCGCAAGGGAGAGAUCAGAGAUGUCGCAGGUGUAACAACCAAGCUCUCCUAGGUCUUGCUCGACUCGGCCCCCGCUGAAGUGCUUCACAAUCCAAGGACUGGAUAUGCUGUGGCUCGGUUUCAUCUUUUAUGCAAAUCUUUAAGGGGAAAAA
Oryza sativa Japonica Group (Japanese rice) is the source of this 4378-nucleotide non-coding RNA. NCBI's taxonomy places the organism in Eukaryota, Viridiplantae, Streptophyta, Magnoliopsida, Poales, Poaceae. The record is from RefSeq and is a predicted model, not a curated record.